This 429-nucleotide ribosomal RNA is filed under the name Pseudomonadota bacterium. RNAcentral's name for it is "Proteobacteria bacterium partial 16S ribosomal RNA". It matches the Rfam family "Bacterial small subunit ribosomal RNA", at positions 355 to 776 of the family's 1533-position model. The record is from RNAcentral. Lineage: Bacteria; Pseudomonadati; Pseudomonadota.
UGGGGAAUAUUGGACAAUGGGCGAAAGCCUGAUCCAGCCAUGCCGCGUGUGUGAAGAAGGUCUUCGGUUUGUAAAGCACUUUAAGUUGGGAGGAAGGGCAGUAAGCGAAUACCUUGCUGUUUUGACGUUACCGACAGAAUAAGCACCGGCUAACUCUGUGCCAGCAGCCGCGGUAAUACAGAGGGUGCAAGCGUUAAUCGGAAUUACUGGGCGUAAAGCGCGCGUAGGUGGUUCGUUAAGUUGAAUGUGAAAGCCCCGGGCUCAACCUGGGAACUGCAUCCAAAACUGGCGAGCUAGAGUAGGGCAGAGGGUGGUGGAAUUUCCUGUGUAGCGGUGAAAUGCGUAGAUAUAGGAAGGAACACCAGUGGCGAAGGCGACCACCUGGGCUCAUACUGACACUGAGGUGCGAAAGCGUGGGGAGCAAACAGG